CCCCCCCCCCCCCCCCCCCCCCCCCCCCCCCCCCCCCCCCCCCCCCCCCCCCCCCGCUCUUCCGAUCUGCCACCGGCGCGGCCAGCGCCGCUGUCCUGGCGCGGCUGGAGGAGGUGACGCGGCACUUGGGGACACUGGUGGCCGCCGUCCGGCGCGACACGGCGGUGACACCGUGGGGGACGCGGCGACAGGGAUUCCCCGCCACCGCGCGAGCGCUCGGCGACAUCCUGGUGGCCUUGGGGACAUCGGGGGAGGGACACGAAGCGCUCGCGCGGUGGCGGGGAAUCCCUGUCGCCGCGUCCCCCACGGUGUCACCGCCGUGUCGCGCCGGACGGCGGCCACCAGUGUCCCCAAGUGCCGCGUCACCUCCUCCAGCCGCGCCAGGACAGCGGCGCUGGCCGCGCCGGUGGCAGAUCGGAAGAGCGGCCCCCCCCCCCCCCCCCCCCCCCCCCCCCCCCCCCCCCCCCCCCCCCCCC
RNAcentral lists this long non-coding RNA (476 nucleotides) under Ficedula albicollis (Collared flycatcher). Its description in RNAcentral is "lncRNA (ENSFALG00000027365.1)". Lineage: Eukaryota; Metazoa; Chordata; Aves; Passeriformes; Muscicapidae. The record is from RNAcentral.